This 608-nucleotide ribosomal RNA is filed under the name uncultured bacterium. RNAcentral describes it as "bacterial SSU rRNA". It matches the Rfam family "Bacterial small subunit ribosomal RNA", at positions 93 to 740 of the family's 1533-position model. The record is from RNAcentral.
GAGUGGCAGACGGGUGAGUAACGCGUGGGAACCUUCCCUGUGGUACGGAAUAACUUCGGGAAACCGAAGCUAAUACCGUAUAUCUCGGGAGAAAGAUUUAUCGCCAUAGGAUGGGCCCGCGUUGGAUUAGCUAGUUGGUAGGGUAAUGGCCUACCAAGGCAACGAUCCAUAGCUGGUCUGAGAGGAUGAUCAGCCACACUGGGACUGAGACACGGCCCAGACUCCUACGGGAGGCAGCAGUGGGGAAUAUUGGACAAUGGGCGAAAGCCUGAUCCAGCCAUGCCGCGUGAGUGAAGAAGGCCUUAGGGUUGUAAAGCUCUUUUGGCGGGGACGAUAAUGACGGUACCCGCAGAAUAAGCCCCGGCUAACUUCGUGCCAGCAGCCGCGGUAAUACGAAGGGGGCUAGCGUUGUUCGGAAUCACUGGGCGUAAAGCGCACGCAGGCGGACUGAUAAGUCAGGGGUGAAAUCCCGGGGCUCAACCUCGGAAUUGCCUUUGAUGCUGUCUGUCUUGAGUUCGGGAGAGGUUGGCGGAAUUCCUAGUGUAGAGGUGAAAUUCGUAGAUAUUAGGAAGAACACCAGUGGCGAAGGCGGCCAACUGGCCCGAAAC